This 206-nucleotide ribosomal RNA is filed under the name uncultured bacterium. RNAcentral's name for it is "partial 16S ribosomal RNA". It matches the Rfam family "Bacterial small subunit ribosomal RNA", at positions 568 to 774 of the family's 1533-position model. The record is from RNAcentral.
AGCGUAGGCGGAUAGUUUAGUCAGAGGUGAAAGCCCAGGGCUCAACCUUGGAAUUGCCUUUGAUACUGGCUAUCUUGAGUACGGAAGAGGUAUGUGGAACUCCGAGUGUAGAGGUGAAAUUCGUAGAUAUUCGGAAGAACACCAGUGGCGAAGGCGACAUACUGGUCCGUUACUGACGCUGAGGCUGAAAGCGUGGGGAGCAAACA